Molecule: ribosomal RNA, 431 nt
Filed under: uncultured bacterium
Lineage: Bacteria
Description: bacterial SSU rRNA
Rfam family: Bacterial small subunit ribosomal RNA
Source: RNAcentral
AGUGAACGCUGGCGGCAGGCCUAACACAUGCAAGUCGAGCGGCAGCGCGUCCGACCACCCUCGGGUGGUCGGAUGGCGGCGAGCGGCGGACGGGUGAGGAAUGCAUCGGAAUCUGCCUCGUUGUGGGGGAUAACGUAGGGAAACUUACGCUAAUACCGCAUACGACCUACGGGUGAAAGUGGGGGACCUUCGGGCCUCACGCGAUGAGAUGAGCCGAUGCCGGAUUAGCUAGUUGGCGGGGUAAAAGCCUACCAAGGCGACGAUCUGUAGCUGGUCUGAGAGGACGACCAGCCACACUGGGACUGAGACACGGCCCAGACUCCUACGGGAGGCAGCAGUGGGGAAUUUUGGACAAUGGGCGCAAGCCUGAUCCAGCCAUGCCGCGUGCGGGAAGAAGGCCUGGUUGUAAACCGCUUUGUUCAGGAGAACGG